CAAGGAUGUUUUCAUUAAUCAAGAACGAAAGUUAGGGGACCGAAGAUGAUCAGAUACCGUCGUAGCCUUAACCAUAAACUAUGCCGACUAGGGAUCGGGUGGUGCUACUUUGCCCACUCGGCACCUUACGAGAAAUCAAAGUUUUUGGGUUCUGGGGGGAGUAUGGUCGCAAGGCUGAAACUUAAAGGAAUUGACGGAAGGGCACCACCAGGAGUGGAGCCUGCGGCUUAAUUUGACUCAACACGGGGAAACUCACCAGGUCCAGACGUAAUAAGGAUUGACAAGUUAGAGACUUCUCUUGAUCUUACGGGUGGUGGUGCAUGGCCGUUUUUAGUCCUUGGAGUGAUUUGUCUGCUUAGUUGCGAUAACGGACGAGACCUUAACCUGCUAAAUAGGGCUGCGAGCAUCUGCUCGGGUGCUCUUCUUAGAGGGACUAUGGGUAUCAAACCCAUGGAAGUUUGAGGCAACAACAGGUCUGUGAUGCCCUUAGACGUUCUGGACCGCACGCGCGCUACACUGACGGAGCCAGCAAGUCCAACCUUGGUCGAGAGGCCCGGGUAAUCUCGUGAAACUCCGUCGUGC
This 582-nucleotide ribosomal RNA is filed under the name uncultured fungus. Its description in RNAcentral is "SSU rRNA". It matches the Rfam family "Eukaryotic small subunit ribosomal RNA", at positions 959 to 1570 of the family's 1831-position model. Lineage: Eukaryota; Fungi. The record is from RNAcentral.